GAUGAACGCUGGCGGCGUGCUUAACACAUGCAAGUCGAACGGGAAUUAUUUUAUUGCAACUUCGGUCGAUUUAAUUUAAUUCUAGUGGCGGACGGGUGAGUAACGCGUGGGUAACCUGCCUUAUACAGGGGGAUAACAGUCAGAAAUGGCUGCUAAUACCGCAUAAGCGCACAGAGCUGCAUGGCUCAGUGUGAAAAACUCCGGUGGUAUAAGAUGGACCCGCGUUGGAUUAGCUGGUUGGUGGGGUAACGGCCCACCAAGGCGACGAUCCAUAGCCGGCCUGAGAGGGUGAACGGCCACAUUGGGACUGAGACACGGCCCAGACUCCUACGGGAGGCAGCAGUGGGGAAUAUUGCACAAUGGGGGAAAACCUGAUGCAGCGACGCCGCGUGAAGGAAGAAGUAUCUCGGUAUGUAAACUUCUAUCAGCAGGGAAGAUAGUGACGGUACCUGACGAAGAAGCCCCGGCUAACUACGUG
Molecule: ribosomal RNA, 478 nt
Filed under: uncultured bacterium
Lineage: Bacteria
Description: partial 16S ribosomal RNA
Rfam family: Bacterial small subunit ribosomal RNA
Source: RNAcentral